Molecule: non-coding RNA, 791 nt
Organism: Macaca mulatta (Rhesus monkey)
Lineage: Eukaryota; Metazoa; Chordata; Mammalia; Primates; Cercopithecidae
Source: RefSeq, a predicted model, not a curated record
CGUCACAGAGAGUAGACUAGAAACAAUUACCAAGGGCAGAACACUAAUAAGAGUUUCUAGGUCAGUGUUGCUGAGGAGCGCCACAAUGGCUUGCUAAGAAGGAACAAACGGUCUUGCUGAUGAGAUAUACAGUGCUUGAUACAUUUUCCACCAGUGGGAGCUACAUCGAAAGAUGAAGUGAGGCACUUGGGGAGGAGACUCCAAGCUUGACUCAACAUACAAGGGAACAAUUACACUUUAAUCACAAAAAGAAAAAGUCCUACCAAAAUCGACACUUUGGGGAUUUCCCUACCAAAAUCAGGAAAUUUCAGGUCUUCGAAUUGAGAGCAGCCACUCCUGAGGGGUCUUGUCGCCACCCGAACCUUGUCUUCAAGCCUGAUGGUACAGCUGGAUUAAAAAACUGAAGCAUUAAACAUCUUGUGAUUUUCCCAAGUUGGUGUUUCAGUUGCUUAUUGCUUUAUCAACCAAGAAAUGGAACAGUACCUCUGCUCACAAGAUAAGCAUAAAUGUUAAAGACCCAUGAAGAAUUGUCUCCCAACAGCCUGAGCCAUCACAUGAGAGCACAGUUUGACUGCUCUCAUGGAGAAACCACGUGGAAGGAACACGUGGAGAAGAAACAUUUUGAAAACACAUACAGAAGAAAAGACAUCCAGCUAUCUUAGCAUCCCAGAGACCUGUAGAACUAUUCAGCUGAGCUCACUGAAACCACAGAACCAUGAGAGAUGACAAAAUGUUUGUUGUUUGAAGCAACUACAUUUCAAAGUGCAAUUUCACUAAAAUAUUGAGUAAUG